Octopus bimaculoides (California two-spot octopus) is the source of this 641-nucleotide long non-coding RNA. The record is from RefSeq and is a predicted model, not a curated record. NCBI's taxonomy places the organism in Eukaryota, Metazoa, Mollusca, Cephalopoda, Octopoda, Octopodidae.
AGAAUGUAUAAAAGCUCAUGGAAACGCCUACAACACAGAACAGUGGUCCUGCUAGACAACAAUGAAUUACAACUCAGGAAAGAAAAAAAAAGAGAAGCUGCACGUAUAACACAUAACUUAGAAGUAGCUCUACAGAUGUACCAACACACACGAGAUUGAAACAUAGCUGACCUCACGCACUCUCAUGAGGAAUUCCGGAAGGAGCUUCGUGAGACCACUACUGAGAGGCUUCCGAAAAAAAGAAAAGCCGUUGCAAAGCAGUUUAUAGCAGAGACUCAAUCUAAGAAUAUCUGAAGAAGAAAUUGUAUUCCGAAAUAUCAUCGGACUAUAGAUAACUAAAUUACAACAGAUUUGACUUCGCCAUGUCAACAAACUUCAAAAUUGGUAAAAGUUUAUCGAUUUUUACAGCUAUACGUGGGUGCCUCUGAGAGAAAAAGUUGACGAAAAUGCAGAUAGGGUCAUGACGAAUGUUCUCCUAAAAUUCGAGUGACAUGCGUACUAAUUUGUGGACGUGCAUAAAUUAUAUUCACGUACACACACAAAUACACACACACACAUCUCGGCUUUUAUAUAUAUACGGAUAUAUACUUUUCUAUCUAUCUGUCUAUCUAAAUAUUUAUGUAUAUAAAUAUAAUUUUGAA